This 375-nucleotide ribosomal RNA is filed under the name uncultured soil bacterium. Its description in RNAcentral is "bacterial SSU rRNA". It matches the Rfam family "Bacterial small subunit ribosomal RNA", at positions 26 to 395 of the family's 1533-position model. The record is from RNAcentral.
AGAUUGAACGCUAGCGGGAUGCUUUACACAUGCAAGUCGAACGGCAGCGCGGACUUCGGUCUGGCGGCGAGUGGCGAACGGGUGAGUAAUAUAUCGGAACGUGCCCAGUAGCGGGGGAUAACUACGCGAAAGCGUGGCUAAUACCGCAUACGCCCGUACGGGGGAAAGGGGGGGAUCGCAAGACCUCUCACUAUUGGAGCGGCCGAUAUCAGAUUAGCUAGUUGGUGAGGUAAAGGCUCACCAAGGCGACGAUCUGUGGCUGGUUUGAGAGGACGACCAGCCACACUGGGACUGAGACACGGCCCAGACUCCUACGGGAGGCAGCAGUGGGGGAAUUUUGGACAAUGGGGACGAAAAGCCUGAUCCCAAGCCCAU